GACCAUGACUCAGCAGCCACUUCGAGGUGUGGCCAGCCUACAUUUCAACCAAGACCAAAGCUGCUUUUGCUGUGCCAUGGAGACAGGCAUCCGUAUCUAUAAUGUGGAGCCACUGAUGGAAAAGGGGCAUCUGGACCACGAGUAGAUAGGCAGCGUGGGCCUGGUAGAGAUGCUGUGCACCGAUCCAACCUGCUGGCCCCCGUGGGCAGUGGCAGCAGUCCCAACUUCUCAGAGAUCUCAGUGCUGAUCUGGGACGAUUCCCGAUUCCCGAGAAGGCAAGGACUCCAAGGACAAACUGGUGCUGGAGUUCACCUUUCCCAAGUCAGUGCUGGCUGUGCGCAUGCGCCAUGACAAGAUUGUGUCCUGCUGAGGAAUUGCAUCAAUGUGUACUCCUUCCCGGACAAUCCUCGAAAAGCUGUUUGAGUUUGACACUCGGGACAACCCCAAGGGGCUGUGUGACCUCUGCCCAAGCCUGGAGAACAACCACUUGUGUUUCCUGGGCACAAGUGUGGAAGCACUUCAUCCGUUCCAUUCGCCAUUAGUGCACAUCAGAGUGAUGUAGCCUGUGUGUCCCCGAACCAGCCAGGCACUGUGGUGGUCUCGUCCUCCCAGGAGGGUAUCCUUAUUCGUCUUUUUGACACCUAUUCCAAAGAGAAACUGGUGGAGCUUCGAAGAGGCACUGACCCUGCCAGGGACUGCUUUAACUUCAGCCACGACUCCUUCUUCUCUGCUUCCCGUGACAAGGGCCCUGUCCAUAUCUUCACCGCUUUGUGUUGGCUCAUGUGGGCAAGGUUGCGUCUCUGGUUGGGCUGUACGUGGAUUCUCAGUGGGGCCUGGCCAGCUUUACUGUGCCUGUUGAGUGAAAAUGCGUCUGCACCUUUGGUCCAAACACUUCCAAGAAUGUCAACUCGGUGACUGCUAUCUGCAUAGACGGGACCUUCCACAAAUGCAUCUUCACUCCUGGUGGAAACUGCAACAGAGAGGCCUUUGACGUGUACCUUGACAUCUGUCACAACGAUGACUUUGAAGAGCCCUGGCAGCUACACUAG
Molecule: non-coding RNA, 1049 nt
Organism: Myodes glareolus (Bank vole)
Lineage: Eukaryota; Metazoa; Chordata; Mammalia; Rodentia; Cricetidae
Source: RefSeq, a predicted model, not a curated record